Populus euphratica (Euphrates poplar) is the source of this 288-nucleotide long non-coding RNA. RefSeq lists it as uncharacterized. The transcript has 4 exons. The record is from RefSeq and is a predicted model, not a curated record. NCBI's taxonomy places the organism in Eukaryota, Viridiplantae, Streptophyta, Magnoliopsida, Malpighiales, Salicaceae.
AAGACUCUUAUAGCCAAGUCCAGGGAUUCACUGACCACACGCACUCUUCAUUCUGAGCUAGUUUAUAAUUACUCAGGAUCUAAGCAUAUUACAGAAUCCCUGAAAAGAUAUGGAAUCUCCUAUAGCUCCACAUACAUAUUCCUGGCUGCUCGCUUCAACGCUUCUCCAGAUGAGAUGAAAGUGUAGAGAAACUUAUCAAAGGGAAAGAAAUCGAAUUAGAGGAACUGGAAGGGAGAGCAAACCAAGCUCAAAUGCAGAAGCACUACAAAUUUCUGGCUUGGGAGUAGG